AUUGAACGCUGGCGGCAUGCUUUACACAUGCAAGUCGAACGGCAGCGCGGGGCAACCUGGCGGCGAGUGGCGAACGGGUGAGUAAUAUAUCGGAACGUACCCAGAAGUGGGGGAUAACGUAGCGAAAGUUACGCUAAUACCGCAUACGAUCUACGGAUGAAAGUAGGGGACCGCAAGGCCUUAUGCUUUUGGAGCGGCCGAUAUCUGAUUAGCUAGUUGGUGAGGUAAAGGCUCACCAAGGCGACGAUCAGUAGCUGGUCUGAGAGGACGACCAGCCACACUGGAACUGAGACACGGUCCAGACUCCUACGGGAGGCAGCAGUGGGGAAUUUUGGACAAUGGGCGCAAGCCUGAUCCAGCAAUGCCGCGUGAGUGAAGAAGGCCUUCGGGUUGUAAAGCUCUUUUGUCAGGGAAGAAACGGUAGAGGCUAAUAUCCUUUGCUAAUGACGGCACCUGAAGAAUAAGCACCGGCUAACUACGUG
RNAcentral lists this ribosomal RNA (482 nucleotides) under uncultured bacterium. RNAcentral describes it as "partial 16S ribosomal RNA". It matches the Rfam family "Bacterial small subunit ribosomal RNA", at positions 30 to 507 of the family's 1533-position model. The record is from RNAcentral.